UACGUAGGGUCCAAGCGUUAUCCGGAAUCACUGGGCGUAAAGCGCGUGUAGGCUGCUCUGCAAGUCGGAUGUGAAAGCCCUGGGCUCAACCUAGGAAGUGCACUCGAAACUGCAGAGCUUGAGUCUCGGAGAGGAUCGCGGAAUUCUCGGUGUAGAGGUGAAAUUCGUAGAUAUCGAGAGGAACACCGGUGGCGAAGGCGGCGAUCUGGACGAUGACUGACGCUGAGACGCGAAAGCGUGGGGAGCAAACAGG
RNAcentral lists this ribosomal RNA (253 nucleotides) under uncultured bacterium. Its description in RNAcentral is "partial 16S ribosomal RNA". It matches the Rfam family "Bacterial small subunit ribosomal RNA", at positions 524 to 776 of the family's 1533-position model. The record is from RNAcentral.